Molecule: ribosomal RNA, 229 nt
Filed under: uncultured Alicycliphilus sp.
Lineage: Bacteria; Pseudomonadati; Pseudomonadota; Betaproteobacteria; Burkholderiales; Comamonadaceae
Description: partial 16S ribosomal RNA
Rfam family: Bacterial small subunit ribosomal RNA
Source: RNAcentral
AGAGAUGCACUGGGUGUAAAGCGUGCGCAGGCGGUUUUGUAAGACAGAGGUGAAAUCCCCGGGCUCAACCUGGGAACUGCCUUGUGACUGCAAGGCUGGAGUGCGGCAGAGGGGGAUGGAAUUCCGCGUGUAGCAGUGAAAUGCGUAGAUAUGCGGAGGAACACCGAUGGCGAGGGCAAUCCCCUGGGCCUGCACUGACGCUCAUGCACGAAAGCGUGGGGAGCAAACA